GACGAACGCUGGCGGCGUGCUUAACACAUGCAAGUCGAACGGUAAGGCCCUUCGGGGUACACGAGUGGCGAACGGGUGAGUAACACGUGGGUGAUCUGCCCUGCACUUCGGGAUAAGCCUGGGAAACUGGGUCUAAUACCGGAUAGGACUCCGGACUGCAUGGUCUGGGGUGGAAAGCUUUUGCGGUGUGGGAUGGGCCCGCGGCCUAUCAGCUUGUUGGUGGGGUGAUGGCCUACCAAGGCGACGACGGGUAGCCGGCCUGAAAGGGUGACCGGCCACCCUGGGACUGGGAUACGGCCCAGACUCCUACGGGAGGCAGCAGUGGGGAAUAUUGCACAAUGGGCGCAAGCCUGAUGCAGCGACGCCGCGUGAGGGAUGACGGCCUUCGGGUUGUAAACCUCUUUCAGCAUCGACGAAGCGAAAGUGACGGUAGGUGCAGAAGAAGGACCGGCCAACUACGUGCCAGCAGCCGCAGUAA
This 478-nucleotide ribosomal RNA is filed under the name uncultured bacterium. RNAcentral describes it as "partial 16S ribosomal RNA". It matches the Rfam family "Bacterial small subunit ribosomal RNA", at positions 28 to 523 of the family's 1533-position model. The record is from RNAcentral.